This 2924-nucleotide ribosomal RNA is filed under the name Salmonella enterica. RNAcentral's name for it is "23S ribosomal RNA". It matches the Rfam family "Bacterial large subunit ribosomal RNA". The record is from RNAcentral. Lineage: Bacteria; Pseudomonadati; Pseudomonadota; Gammaproteobacteria; Enterobacterales; Enterobacteriaceae.
GGGUUGUGAGGUUAAGCGACUAAGCGUACACGGUGGAUGCCCUGGCAGUCAGAGGCGAUGAAGGGCGUGCUAAUCUGCGAUAAGCGCCGGUAAGGUGAUAUGAACCGUUAUAACCGGCGAUACCCGAAUGGGGAAACCCAGUGUGACUCGUCACACUAUCAUUAACUGAAUCCAUAGGUUAAUGAGGCGAACCGGGGGAACUGAAACAUCUAAGUACCCCGAGGAAAAGAAAUCAACCGAGAUUCCCCCAGUAGCGGCGAGCGAACGGGGAGGAGCCCAGAGCCUGAAUCAGCAUGUGUGUUAGUGGAAGCGUCUGGAAAGGCGCGCGAUACAGGGUGACAGCCCCGUACACAAAAGCGCAUGUGCUGUGAGCUCGAUGAGUAGGGCGGGACACGUGGUAUCCUGUCUGAAUAUGGGGGGACCAUCCUCCAAGGCUAAAUACUCCUGACUGACCGAUAGUGAACCAGUACCGUGAGGGAAAGGCGAAAAGAACCCCGGCGAGGGGAGUGAAAAAGAACCUGAAACCGUGUACGUACAAGCAGUGGGAGCACAGGUUUACCUGUGUGACUGCGUACCUUUUGUAUAAUGGGUCAGCGACUUAUAUUCUGUAGCAAGGUUAACCGAAUAGGGGAGCCGGAGGGAAACCGAGUCUUAAUUGGGCGUUAAGUUGCAGGGUAUAGACCCGAAACCCGGUGAUCUAGCCAUGGGCAGGUUGAAGGUUGGGUAACACUAACUGGAGGACCGAACCGACUAAUGUUGAAAAAUUAGCGGAUGACCUGUGGCUGGGGGUGAAAGGCCAAUCAAACCGGGAGAUAGCUGGUUCUCCCCGAAAGCUAUUUAGGUAGCGCCUCGUGAAUUCAUCUCCGGGGUAGAGCACUGUUUCGGCUAGGGGGCCAUCCCGGCUUACCAACCCGAUGCAAACUGCGAAUACCGGAGAAUGUUAUCACGGGAGACACACGGCGGGUGCUAACGUCCGUCGUGAAGAGGGAAACAACCCAGACCGCCAGCUAAGGUCCCAAAGUCAUGGUUAAGUGGGAAACGAUGUGGGAAGGCCCAGACAGCCAGGAUGUUGGCUUAGAAGCAGCCAUCAUUUAAAGAAAGCGUAAUAGCUCACUGGUCGAGUCGGCCUGCGCGGAAGAUGUAACGGGGCUAAACCAUGCACCGAAGCUGCGGCAGCGACACUGUGUGUUGUUGGGUAGGGGAGCGUUCUGUAAGCCUGCGAAGGUGGCCUGUGAGGGUUGCUGGAGGUAUCAGAAGUGCGAAUGCUGACAUAAGUAACGAUAAAGCGGGUGAAAAGCCCGCUCGCCGGAAGACCAAGGGUUCCUGUCCAACGUUAAUCGGGGCAGGGUGAGUCGACCCCUAAGGCGAGGCCGAAAGGCGUAGUCGAUGGGAAACGGGUUAAUAUUCCCGUACUUGGUGUUACUGCGAAGGGGGACGGAGAAGGCUAUGUUGGCCGGGCGACGGUUGUCCCGGUUUAAGCGUGUAGGUGUGUGUUCGGGUAAAUCCGGUUCACUUUAACACUGAGGCGUGACGACGAGGCACUACGGUGCUGAAGCAACAAAUGCCCUGCUUCCAGGAAAAGCCUCUAAGCAUCAGGUAACAUCAAAUCGUACCCCAAACCGACACAGGUGGUCAGGUAGAGAAUACCAAGGCGCUUGAGAGAACUCGGGUGAAGGAACUAGGCAAAAUGGUGCCGUAACUUCGGGAGAAGGCACGCUGACACGUAGGUGAAGUGAUUUACUCAUGGAGCUGAAGUCAGUCGAAGAUACCAGCUGGCUGCAACUGUUUAUUAAAAACACAGCACUGUGCAAACACGAAAGUGGACGUAUACGGUGUGACGCCUGCCCGGUGCCGGAAGGUUAAUUGAUGGGGUCAGCGCAAGCGAAGCUCCUGAUCGAAGCCCCGGUAAACGGCGGCCGUAACUAUAACGGUCCUAAGGUAGCGAAAUUCCUUGUCGGGUAAGUUCCGACCUGCACGAAUGGCGUAAUGAUGGCAGGCUGUCUCCACCCGAGACUCAGUGAAAUUGAACUCGCUGUGAAGAUGCAGUGUACCCGCGGCAAGACGGAAAGACCCCGUGAACCUUUACUAUAGCUUGACACUGAACAUUGAGCCUUGAUGUGUAGGAUAGGUGGGAGGCUUUGAAGUGUGGACGCCAGUCUGCAUGGAGCCGACCUUGAAAUACCACCCUUUAAUGUUUGAUGUUCUAACGUGGACCCGUUACCCGGGUUGCGGACAGUGUCUGGUGGGUAGUUUGACUGGGGCGGUCUCCUCCUAAAGAGUAACGGAGGAGCACGAAGGUUGGCUAAUCCUGGUCGGACAUCAGGAGGUUAGUGCAAUGGCAUAAGCCAGCUUGACUGCGAGCGUGACGGCGCGAGCAGGUGCGAAAGCAGGUCAUAGUGAUCCGGUGGUUCUGAAUGGAAGGGCCAUCGCUCAACGGAUAAAAGGUACUCCGGGGAUAACAGGCUGAUACCGCCCAAGAGUUCAUAUCGACGGCGGUGUUUGGCACCUCGAUGUCGGCUCAUCACAUCCUGGGGCUGAAGUAGGUCCCAAGGGUAUGGCUGUUCGCCAUUUAAAGUGGUACGCGAGCUGGGUUUAGAACGUCGUGAGACAGUUCGGUCCCUAUCUGCCGUGGGCGCUGGAGAACUGAGGGGGGCUGCUCCUAGUACGAGAGGACCGGAGUGGACGCAUCACUGGUGUUCGGGUUGUCAUGCCAAUGGCACUGCCCGGUAGCUAAAUGCGGAAGAGAUAAGUGCUGAAAGCAUCUAAGCACGAAACUUGCCCCGAGAUGAGUUCUCCCUGAGACUUAAAGUCUCCUGAAGGAACGUUGAAGACGACGACGUUGAUAGGCCGGGUGUGUAAGCGCAGCGAUGCGUUGAGCUAACCGGUACUAAUGAACCGUGAGGCUUAACCUUACAACGCCGAAG